AAUCGAAGCGUGUAAAGGUAUUGAUUCAAGGGUGAGUGGAAUGAUGGGUGGGAUGUCAGAAUUGUAGAUGGAAUGACCUAAUUACAUGUUCAAGCAAGGACAAUGGUGAGCUCUUUGGUAGCAGUUGUCCUAACAGCCCACACUAAAGUUGAAACUGAUACAAAGAAAACUAAGUUACGAGGUGCAGAACAUUUUUAGAAUUUAGGGCAGGAACUAGCCUUUCUUUCACUUUGGGGGGAAAACUAAGAUUUGACAGAUUGGGUUUGUAGGAUUUUCAGGUAUUUUCUCAAGACUCAAGAAAACGGAAGACUUUGAAACACCUUGUACUUAGCCAACUUCUUAGUACUCAUGCAUGGACAAGACGCCAGUGGCAAGCAGAAAGUAGUUGCUGAAAAACUAAGGAAUUAAGCAGAGAUUUCAGUGGUCAUGAGGUGUUGAAGAGACAAAGGCUCCAUGUUAACAAAAGAGCAAGCCCUCUAGAUUCUCAGUUGAGUUCUCUGAAGACCUCUAGAGACACCUUAUGCAGCUGUGAUACGUCUUCGCAAGCCAGAAACAAGGUUGAGAAGUUCUCACUGAUUAUUUCCCGCUGUCCUUAGACGAGAGGGACUUUCCAACACAAUAUCUAGUUUAGUAUGUUAUAGAAAAU
RNAcentral lists this long non-coding RNA (646 nucleotides) under Vulpes vulpes (red fox). Its description in RNAcentral is "lncRNA (ENSVVUG00000014138.1)". The record is from RNAcentral. Lineage: Eukaryota; Metazoa; Chordata; Mammalia; Carnivora; Canidae.